This 447-nucleotide ribosomal RNA is filed under the name uncultured bacterium. RNAcentral describes it as "bacterial SSU rRNA". It matches the Rfam family "Bacterial small subunit ribosomal RNA", at positions 355 to 825 of the family's 1533-position model. The record is from RNAcentral.
UCGGGAAUUUUGGGCAAUGGGCGCAAGCCUGAUCCAGCCAUGCCGCGUGGAUGAUGAAGGCCCUAGGGUUGUAAAAUCCUUUCGUUGGGGACGAUAAUGACGGUACCCAAAGAAGAAGCUCCGGCUAACUUCGUGCCAGCAGCCGCGGUAAUACGAAGGGGGCUAGCGUUGUUCGGAUUUACUGGGCGUAAAGCGCGCGUAGGCGGUGUGUCAAGUCAGUUGUGAAAUCUCCGAGCUUAACUCGGAACGGUCAACUGAUACUGUCACACUAGAGUACAGAAGGGGCAAUCGGAAUUCUUGGUGUAGCGGUGAAAUGCGUAGAUAUCAAGAGGAACACCUGAGGCGAAGGCGGGUUGCUGGGCUGAUACUGACGCUGAGGCGCGAAAGCUAGGGUAGCAAACGGGAUUAGAUACCCUUGUAGUCCCUGAGCGGGCUGGCAAGGCGCAU